RNAcentral lists this long non-coding RNA (235 nucleotides) under Setaria italica (foxtail millet). Its description in RNAcentral is "long non-coding RNA (SITA_LNC004627)". The record is from RNAcentral. Lineage: Eukaryota; Viridiplantae; Streptophyta; Magnoliopsida; Poales; Poaceae.
CGUCAUGCUCGAGCUCUCCUCAUGUGAAAUUUUCGUGUCAACAUCAGAUUAAUUGAAAAUAAAACAGAUCAUGGCUCAUUUUUAUUCUCAGCUAUCUGUAAUCACCACAUAGCACAAAUUAAUAUCCUAGGCACAUAGGAGAAGAGGAACACUUAUUUGAAAACACAUGUGGGAUAUGAGACGUUAUUAUAGUUGAUUCAUAAUUCCAUCAAAGAUGGCCUGACCUCAAUUUAUG